Molecule: ribosomal RNA, 301 nt
Filed under: uncultured bacterium
Lineage: Bacteria
Description: partial 16S ribosomal RNA
Rfam family: Bacterial small subunit ribosomal RNA
Source: RNAcentral
CCGCCACGGGAAUACGUAGGGUGCAAGCGUUAAGCGGGAUUACUGGGCGUAAAGCGUGCGCAGGCGGUUCUAUAAGACAGAUGUGAAAUCCCCGGGCUCAACCUGGGAACUGCAUUUGUGACUGUAGAGCUGGAGUGCGGCAGAGGGGGAUGGAAUUCCGCGUGUAGCAGUGAAAUGCGUAGAUAUGCGGAGGAACACCGAUGGCGAAGGCAAUCCCCUGGGCCUGCACUGUCGCUCAUGCACGAAAGCGUGGGGAGCAAACAGGAUUAGAUACCCCGGUAGUCCCUGUCUCUUAUACACA